UACGUAGGUGGCAAGCGUUGUCCGGAAUUAUUGGGCGUAAAGCGCGCGCAGGCGGUUCCUUAAGUCAGAUGUGAAAGCCCACGGCUCAACCGUGGAGGGUCAUUGGAAACUGGGGAACUUGAGUACAGAAGAGGAGAGCGGAAUUCCACGUGUAGCGGUGAAAUGCGUAGAGAUGUGGAGGAACACCAGUGGCGAAGGCGGCUCUCUGGUCUGUAACUGACGCUGAGGCGCGAAAGCGUGGGGAGCGAACAGG
RNAcentral lists this ribosomal RNA (253 nucleotides) under uncultured bacterium. RNAcentral's name for it is "partial 16S ribosomal RNA". It matches the Rfam family "Bacterial small subunit ribosomal RNA", at positions 524 to 776 of the family's 1533-position model. The record is from RNAcentral.